RNAcentral lists this ribosomal RNA (444 nucleotides) under uncultured bacterium. Its description in RNAcentral is "bacterial SSU rRNA". It matches the Rfam family "Bacterial small subunit ribosomal RNA", at positions 331 to 792 of the family's 1533-position model. The record is from RNAcentral.
CCAGACUCCUACGGGAGGCAGCAGUGGGGAAUAUUGGGCAAUGGGGGAAACCCUGACCCAGCGACGCCGCGUGAGGGAAGAAGGUUUUCGGAUUGUAAACCUCUGUCCUUGGUGACGAUAAUGACGGUAGCCAAGGAGGAAGCCACGGCUAACUACGUGCCAGCAGCCGCGGUAAUACGUAGGGAGCGAGCGUUGUCCGGAUUUACUGGGUGUAAAGGGUGCGUAGGCGGCUUGGCAAGUCAGUAGUGAAAUCCAUGGGCUUAACCCAUGAACUGCUAUUGAAACUGUCGAGCUUGAGUGAAGUAGAGGUAGGCGGAAUUCCCGGUGUAGCGGUGAAAUGCGUAGAGAUCGGGAGGAACACCAGUGGCGAAGGCGGCCUACUGGGCUUUAACUGACGCUGAGGCACGAAAGCGUGGGUAGCAAACAGGAUUAGAUACCCGAGUA